AAUUCCAACUCCUACCAUUAAAUUUAAAAAAGAAUUUCAAUUUUUCCCCAAAAAAAUCUACCAUUACUAGCAUUCAACCUUCUUUAUUUUCCUAUAACCAUGACAACGGGUGAAAUUUUCUACAAAUUAAAUAGGGCCAAAUUUGAUUUGAGUAAUACAUCAUUCAUCAACCAUUAGCAUCAAUCAAUUGAAGUUAUUAAUUU
RNAcentral lists this long non-coding RNA (203 nucleotides) under Gossypium barbadense (sea-island cotton). RNAcentral's name for it is "long non-coding RNA (GBAR_LNC014393)". The record is from RNAcentral. Lineage: Eukaryota; Viridiplantae; Streptophyta; Magnoliopsida; Malvales; Malvaceae.